GAUGAAGAACGUAGCGAAAUGCGAUAAGUAAUGUGAAUUGCAGAAUUCAGUGAAUCAUCGAAUCUUUGAACGCACCUUGCACCCUUUGGCUAUUCCGAAGGGUAUGCCUGUUUGAGUAUCAUGAACACCUCAACUCUCAUGGUUUGCCAUGAUGAGCUUGGACUUUGGGGGUCUUGCUGGCCUGUGGUCAGCUCCUCUCAAAUGGAUUAGCUUGCCAGUGUUUGGUGGCAUCACAGGUGUGAUAACUAUCUACGCUUGUGGUUUUCCACCAGGUAACCUUCAGCAAUGGGGGUUCGCUGGGGCUCAUAAAUGUCUCACCUCAGUGAGGACAGCUCUUUGAACGUUUGAUCUCAAAUCAGGUAGGACUACCCGCUGAACUUAAGCAUAUCAAUAAGCGGAGGA
RNAcentral lists this unclassified non-coding RNA (402 nucleotides) under soil metagenome. RNAcentral's name for it is "partial contains 5.8S ribosomal RNA, internal transcribed spacer 2, and large subunit ribosomal RNA". The stretch from base 1 to 121 matches the Rfam family "5.8S ribosomal RNA", at positions 35 to 154 of the family's 154-position model. The record is from RNAcentral.